GAUGAAGAACGUAGUAAAAUGCGAUAAGUAAUGUGAAUUGCAGAAUUCAGUGAAUCAUCGAAUCUUUGAACGCACAUCGCGCCCGCCAGUAUUCUGGCGGGCAUGCCUGUUCGAGCGUCAUUUCAACCCUCAAGCACAGCUUGGUGUUGGGACUCGCGUUAAUUCGCGUUCCCCAAAUUGAUUGGCGGUCACGUCGAGCUUCCAUAGCGUAGUAGUAAAACCCUCGUUACUGGUAAUCGUCGCGGCCACGCCGUUAAACCCCAACUUCUGAAUGUUGACCUCGGAUCAGGUAGGAAUACCCGCUGAACUUAAGCAUAUCAAUAAGCGGAGGA
RNAcentral lists this unclassified non-coding RNA (332 nucleotides) under soil metagenome. Its description in RNAcentral is "partial contains 5.8S ribosomal RNA, internal transcribed spacer 2, and large subunit ribosomal RNA". The stretch from base 1 to 120 matches the Rfam family "5.8S ribosomal RNA", at positions 35 to 154 of the family's 154-position model. The record is from RNAcentral.